CACGAACCGGACAAACGUUAUUCGGAAUCACUGGGCUUAAAGAGUGCGUAGGCGGUCUGGCAGGUUGGGUGUGAAAUCCCUCGGCUCAACCGAGGAACUGCGCUCAAAACCGCUGGGCUGGAGGGAGACAGGGGUGAGCGGAACUGAUGGUGGAGCGGUGAAAUGCAUUGAUAUCAUCAGGAACACCGGUGGCGAAGGCGGCUCACUGGGUCUCUUCUGACGCUGAGGCACGAAAGCUAGGGUAGCGAACGGG
This 253-nucleotide unclassified non-coding RNA is filed under the name uncultured Pirellulaceae bacterium. Its description in RNAcentral is "contains 16S-23S intergenic spacer region". It matches the Rfam family "Bacterial small subunit ribosomal RNA", at positions 524 to 776 of the family's 1533-position model. The record is from RNAcentral. Lineage: Bacteria; Pseudomonadati; Planctomycetota; Planctomycetia; Pirellulales; Pirellulaceae.